UACGUCUGCGGAUAAAAGAGAAGUCGGGUGAGAUUCCCGCACGAACGGGUCACUGUAAUCACGGAUUGUACCGCGGAAGAACCAUUGGGUCCUGAGGAUCUGAGAAGGCGUACGGUACGAGGCGAUGUGGAGUCAGGAAACCUGCCUGGAAAUGUA
This 156-nucleotide non-coding RNA is filed under the name human gut metagenome. The record is from RNAcentral.